RNAcentral lists this ribosomal RNA (256 nucleotides) under uncultured bacterium. RNAcentral's name for it is "partial 16S ribosomal RNA". It matches the Rfam family "Bacterial small subunit ribosomal RNA", at positions 521 to 776 of the family's 1533-position model. The record is from RNAcentral.
UAAUACGGAGGGUGCGAGCGUUAAUCGGAAUUACUGGGCGUAAAGCGUGCGUAGGCGGUUUGGUCAGUCAGCCGUGAAAGCCCCGGGCUUAACCUGGGAAUGGCGGUUGAGACGGCUGGACUUGAGUGGGCUAGAGGAUCGUGGAAUUCCGGGUGUAGCGGUGAAAUGCGUAGAGAUCCGGAGGAACACCGAUGGCGAAGGCAGCGGUCUGGGGCCACACUGACGCUGAGGCACGACAGCGUGGGGAGCAAACAGG